RNAcentral lists this ribosomal RNA (625 nucleotides) under uncultured fungus. RNAcentral's name for it is "eukaryotic LSU rRNA". The stretch from base 203 to 356 matches the Rfam family "5.8S ribosomal RNA". Lineage: Eukaryota; Fungi. The record is from RNAcentral.
AAGUCGUAACAAGGUAACCGUAGGUGAACCUGCGGUUGGAUCAUUAACAAAUAUUAGAAGACCUUCAAGGUCUCUCUAAACAUCUUGUGAAUUAUAUAUGUCUCUAGCAUGGUUUAACUUUAAUUAGUUGGGUUAUGCUGGAAUUAAACUAUACUUUAUUUAACAUUUUGUCUAUAAAUUCAUUUAAAAAAGUAAUUAAAACAACUUUUGACAACGGAUCUCUAGGCUCUUACAACGAUGAAGAACGCAGCGAAUUGCGAUAAGUAAUGUGAAUUGCAGAAUUCCGUGAAUCAUCAAAUCUUUGAACGCACAUUGCACCUUGAGGUAUUCCUCAAGGUAUGCCUGUUCGAGAAUCAGUUAAACCAUCAAAGCCUAGUAUUGUUAAAGUAAUAGGUUUUGGAAUUGGGAUUUGUUGGACUUUUUAGUUAAACAUUCCUUAAUAAUAAUUGUUGCCCAACACUUUACUUGUUAGUGUGGUAUGCAUGACCAAUGAGUUUCGGCUCUUCUGAUUGCUAUAUAACAUUAACUACUGUAAUUUGUUUAAAGUAACAUUAAAAACUUCAACACAAAGCACUUUGCUUUAAGACUUGAUCUCGAAUCAGACAAGACUACCCGCUGAACUUAA